AUUGAACGCUGGCGGCAUGCUUUACACAUGCAAGUCGAACGGCAGCGCGGGCUUCGGCCUGGCGGCGAGUGGCGAACGGGUGAGUAAUACAUCGGAACGUGCCCAGUAGUGGUGUAUAGCUCGGCGACAGCCGGAUUCAUACCGCAUUCGACCUUAGGGUGAAAGCGGGGGAUCUUCGGACCUCGCGCUCUUGGACCGGCCCAUGGCCGAUUAGCUAGUUGGUGGGGUAAAGGCCUACCAAGGCGCCGAUCUGUAGCUGGUCUGAGAGGACGACCAGCCACACUGGGACUGAGACACGGCCCAGACUCCUACGGGAGGCAGCAGUGGGGAAUUUUGGACAAUGGGCGAAAGCCUGAUCCAGCAAUGCCGCGUGUGUGAUGAAGGCCUUCGGGUUGUAAAGCACUUUUGGCGGGAACGAAAAGGACUGUGCCAAUACCACGGUUCGAUGACGGUACCCGCAGAAUAAGCACCGGCUAACUACGUG
Molecule: ribosomal RNA, 484 nt
Filed under: uncultured bacterium
Lineage: Bacteria
Description: partial 16S ribosomal RNA
Rfam family: Bacterial small subunit ribosomal RNA
Source: RNAcentral